Molecule: unclassified non-coding RNA, 367 nt
Filed under: Boletinellus exiguus
Lineage: Eukaryota; Fungi; Basidiomycota; Agaricomycetes; Boletales; Boletinellaceae
Description: partial internal transcribed spacer region
Rfam family: Eukaryotic small subunit ribosomal RNA (bases 1-46)
Source: RNAcentral
AAGUCGUAACAAGGUUUCCGUAGGUGAACCUGCGGAAGGAUCAUUAUCGAAUUAGAAACGAAUCCGGAGGAUGGAGGGAGCGGGCGAAAUCUGGCAUGGAUUGGACUGUCGCUGGCGACUUUGGAAACGAAGUUUGCAUGUGCACGUCCAUCCUUCCUUAGUCCUCGCUGUCUCGCCUUUGGAGGGAAACGAAACCCAUUACACCUGUGCACCUAUUGUAGGUCCCUUCGCGGGGAUCUAUGUCUUUCCCUUCACACCAAACGCAUGUCUAUAGAAUGUCUUUGACGUGUCGAUCGGCAUGGCCUAACGCCUUGUCGGAGACCGUAAAACUAUUAUACAACUUUCAGCAACGGAUCUCUUGGCUCUC